GUCCGUGUGGGCAAACUGGCAAAGCCGCCUGCUUGAGGGGCAGGAGAUUUUGAGGGUUCGACUCCCUCCAUGGACACCA
This 79-nucleotide transfer RNA is filed under the name marine sediment metagenome. RNAcentral's name for it is "tRNA-Leu". It matches the Rfam family "tRNA". Rfam says of the family: Transfer RNA (tRNA) molecules are approximately 80 nucleotides in length. The record is from RNAcentral.